CCUAAGGGGCUGGUAAAGGCACAGGUAAAGGAAAAUGUGCAGUGUUGCUCUUCUAGUUUCUUCUCGGAACACUUCAUGCUGGUUUUGUUAGCCAACCAGCAGUCCCUUACAGAGUGCCUGGGUGCAGCUUGGAGGUUAGGAUGUGAAGGGACCAGCCCAGCAAGUCUGAACAUGGCCACACUUGGGAUUUUUGAAAGGGAGAAGGAGAGGCUGUGGAGUUUAGCUGCCUGGAUACAAAUCAUGCCCUGCCUUGGCUUCCAAGCUGUGCUCAGUCCCUUUGCCAGUUUUUGCAUUAAGUACAGAUAAAGAUUAUGGGCCUAAAAAAACAUGUGAGGUUUGUAUUCCAGCCGUUCAAGAGAUUUGUUGUGUGACAUCUGAAACACUGUUGGGUUUGUACUAAUAGAGAUCCUUGUUCGCAGAAAGUUGUCUUCUAUAAGAUCAGUGCUCCAGGAGAAUCGUGUAUUCAUAGAUGUGCUGAAAAUUAUGAGCAUUUUAUCUUACUGGAUGAUAAAAAAUAACAGGAAGGGGGAUACUAUCAACCCACUGCUACAGACAAGACCUAGAAGAGGUUGCAGUGGAGAUCUUUUCUGGGGAGGGUCCAAAACUGCAAGAGAGGGAGUUUAAGACCCAGGCACUGUAUUUCCCUGCUCCUUCACGGCAACCAGAGACACCACAGCUGUAGACAGGCCUUGUUUUUACUCCACAUCCCAGUUUCUCACUCAAUAACUUCUACAGUAAUACAAGGAAAGAUCAAAUCUUGAAACUCAUUCCUUUUUGCUUUUUCAUUUGGUAUUGUUUUCAUUCUAAGCACUCUCCUGUGACAGAGUCCCUGAUUAAAAGAGUUCACUAACAAAAUGGAGAUGCAAUGCAGAAAAAUGGAUGAAGAAAGAAAAGGAGGGAAAGGAGUGUCCUGUGUCCCUUUGACAUCCUCUUGACAGCUCUUCUGCAUUCAUAUAUAUAUAUAUAUAUGUCCAACACAGACAUCUUGAAGAUCUAGUGUAUUAUUACAACCAUAUUACUGCACUACUUGUCAGGUCCAUGACAGACGUGAGCUUUCUGACAGGGGAGGAUGAGACUGUAAAAAGCUUUCUCUGGAGGUUAUUUCAUGCAUGGAGAGCUGCAAAAGGGAGGGCAGCAGAACAAGAGUAGGAAAUGGAGAAUGAAAGAAUGCCAAAGACUUCAUCAGGAUAAAAAGAUGAGAAGGGAAGAUCAGAAGAUCAAGGACAGGGCUACAUAGGGUCUUGAUAGUGAAAGGGAGAUGUCUAAUUUUUUAAGCUGUGUAAUGGAGGGAAGGCAGGGUGGGAAGGCAAGAGGGCAGCCAGGUGAUGUAUCCAGUGUGAUUUAAGCUAAUCCAUUCCCAGAAGGGGGACAGCAACUAUGAAACUGUUUUGGUCCAAAUGUGCAGGUUCCCUUCUUUUUAACAAAUAUUGCUCCUGAGAAAUCCCACGGGCUGUGGGAUUCCUAAGAUUUGCUUCUUGCAGCUUCACCUACAUUUAAAAUAAUUCUGCACCCUCAAUCACACAGUCAGGUAUCACAGAAGUCAUCUCUGUGUGACAGAGGUAAAGCUGUGAAUUUGGAAAUGAGGAGAUAGCACCACAGCCUGGCUCCUGUUGGAGUUGGACCUGUCUAAUCAGCCAAAAGGCUGCAUCUAACAUCACCUAACAUGCACCAUGUCACAGGAUGGGACAGAGAAGUGACAUGAUAAGCAGGCACAUGUUACUGUGCUCAAUUAGGUCCUGGCCAGUGGCACACUGCCCUGCAACAGCCUGGUACCCCAGUGUCUCCAUGCCCUGGGAACUCUCCUUGCAGACAUCUCUCCUAAUCCCACAUUGUCCCUUGCAUCAAGGAAAAAGAAAUUUGACAGUACAAAGGAAAAACAAAAACUUUACGCUUUCACCUUCUCCACUGAAUUAAUAAUCUCUGGCAGAUUUGUGGCUUCCUGUGACCCUUGAGUUUUACUGUCUGCUAGCACAUCAGGCACCGAUUUUCCUCUCUCUUUCCCCUACAGCAAGCAUUACAGUGAUCUUUCUCAACACUGACAGGGGCAGGGCUUAUUUCCAGUAAAAGGGCACCAUGCACAGCUGCACAGGGUAAGCGAGGUUAGGGAAAUAGGUGCAUCGGAAUAAUGAGAGCACAGAGAGCAGCAGGCUUUCAAUAUGUUUAUGCAGUUAAAUGUAACAAGUUCAGACACUAUCAUUUAUUUUUUGGCCAUUGUUCACCAGAAAAAAACCCAAACCCACCCGUGUGUUUGUGCCGCUUUCUCUCUGUGAGCACUUUCCUAUUUUUCUUAACCUCUGCAUUGCAGUGCAGCUCGACCGUGUACAUGAAGAUAUACUCCCUGCCCUGGGGAAGAUUCAAGAUAAGCAGAGAAGCGACAUACAAAUGGCAAGGGGGAGAGAGUGAUCUAAUCGACUGGCUGCAAGCUUUGUACAUUAAGAUAGGAAAA
Long non-coding RNA from Pezoporus occidentalis (night parrot), 2446 nucleotides. RefSeq lists it as uncharacterized. The record is from RefSeq and is a predicted model, not a curated record. The transcript is spliced from 2 exons. Lineage: Eukaryota; Metazoa; Chordata; Aves; Psittaciformes; Psittacidae.